GCCCAUGCUGAGAUUUUUGGGAGCAGGCAAGCUGCUUUUGCCUUUGCCUAAUAUCUGAAACAGGCCAAGCUUCAGCCCUUCAGGCUGGUAACAGACUCCUACUGUACCCCUGACAGGGAGGAUCACCAGAAGAAUAAACUACUCUUCUAAAAGAAUACUUCAAAAGGCUUCUGGCAUUUUGGAAAAGGAUGGGACAGCACUCAAAUUUCAGAGGAAGGUGAGUGUUCUCACUGAGCUCCACUUGGUGUUCAUGAGCCAGAAGAAACUCUGAUGUUCUGUUCAGAGUAAGAGGGAAGAGCCACGAUGCAGCUUCAGCAAGAUGAUUCCUACUAAAGAGAAUCAGCAGGACACUGGGCAGCGUCACAAACACUUGUGUUUCUAAGGAGCAGAGGUAUUUCUCAAAAUAAAUAACAACGGCAGCUCCAGAGGCCUUCUCACAACACAUGUGGGGAGUCCUGUCCAUGUGCAAAAACCUCACACUCCCACCAAGCUCUUCAGAGAGCCAACACUUCAAGGAAG
Molecule: long non-coding RNA, 519 nt
Organism: Hirundo rustica (Barn swallow)
Lineage: Eukaryota; Metazoa; Chordata; Aves; Passeriformes; Hirundinidae
Exons: 4
Source: RefSeq, a predicted model, not a curated record